CAGUCGCCACGGUAAUACGAAGGGUGCAAGCGUUACUCGGAAUUACUGGGCGUAAAGCGUGCGUAGGUGGUUGUUUAAGUCUGCUGUGAAAGCCCUGGGCUCAACCUGGGAAUUGCAGUGGAUACUGGGCAACUAGAGUAAGGUAGAGGAUAGUGGAAUUUCCGGUGUAGCAGUGAAAUGCGUAGAGAUCGGGAGGAACAUCUGUGGCGAAGGCGACUAUCUGGGCCAUUACUGACACUGAGGCACGAAAGCGUGGGGAGCAACAGGAUUAGAUACCCCCGUAGUCCCUGUCUCUUAUACA
Molecule: ribosomal RNA, 301 nt
Filed under: uncultured bacterium
Lineage: Bacteria
Description: partial 16S ribosomal RNA
Rfam family: Bacterial small subunit ribosomal RNA
Source: RNAcentral